AACUGAUACUACCUGCGGGAACCUGCGGAGGGAUCAUUAUUGAAAUAACUGAGUGUUCUGGCUGAUUCUGUUGCUGGCCCUUCUAACAAAGGACAUGUGCACGUUUACGCUGGGGCACCUUUAUUAUCAUCCACCUGUGCACAUUUUGUAGUUGUUCUGGCUAGGCCGGCCCUCAAGUCGAAAGACUUGUUUGUUGACUUGGUUAAGACUGCUAUGUCUUUACAAACUUAUUGAAGCAUG
This 240-nucleotide unclassified non-coding RNA is filed under the name soil metagenome. Its description in RNAcentral is "partial contains 5.8S ribosomal RNA, internal transcribed spacer 2, and large subunit ribosomal RNA". The record is from RNAcentral.